Molecule: transfer RNA, 73 nt
Filed under: Promethearchaeota archaeon
Lineage: Archaea; Promethearchaeati; Promethearchaeota
Also listed under: 1 other name
Description: Candidatus Lokiarchaeota archaeon (marine sediment metagenome) tRNA-Gln
Rfam family: tRNA
About the family: Transfer RNA (tRNA) molecules are approximately 80 nucleotides in length. Their secondary structure includes four short double-helical elements and three loops (D, anti-codon, and T loops).
Source: RNAcentral
AGCCCGGUGGUGUAGUGGCCAAGCAUCGGGGGCCCUGAACCCCUGGACCACGGUUCGAAUCCGUGCCGGGCUA